This is a long non-coding RNA of Acomys russatus (golden spiny mouse), 698 nucleotides long. RefSeq lists it as uncharacterized. Lineage: Eukaryota; Metazoa; Chordata; Mammalia; Rodentia; Muridae. The transcript is spliced from 4 exons. The record is from RefSeq and is a predicted model, not a curated record.
ACUGCAUCUCUCUAGGCUAUAAUUUUUUUCAGGCAAUGUGGUUCUACAUCAAGGGGUCACUUCUUAUUAAACUCCUCAGGAGUCUAUACAAGAUGCAAAACCAGCUCAGUAGCUAGCUAGACUGCUGAGGAGGUACAUAGACUGCACAGGAGGUACAUAGACUGCACAGGAGGUAUAUAGACUGCUCAGGAGGUACAUAGACUGCACAGGAGGUACAUAGACUGCACAGGAGGUAUAUAGACUGCUCAGGAGGUACAUAGACUGCACAGGAGGUACAUAGACUGCACAGGAGGUACAUAGACUGCACAGGAGGUAUAUAGACUGCACAGGAGGUACAUAGACUGCACAGGAGGUACAUAGACUGCACAGGAGGUACAUAGACUGCACAGGAGGUACAUAGACUGCUCAGGAGGUACAUAGACUGCUCAGGAGGUACAUAGACUGCUCAGGAGGUACAUAGACUGCACAGGAGGUAUAUAGACUGCACAGGAGGUACAUAGACUGCUCAGGAGGUACAUAGACUGCACAGGAGGUACAUAGACUGCUCAGGAGGUACACAGACUGCUCAGGAGGUAUAUAGACUGCUCAGGAGGUACAUAGACUGCACAGGAGGUAUAUAGACUGCUCAGGAGGUACACAGACUGCUCAGGAGGUAUAUAGACUGCACAGGAGGUACAUAGACUGCACAGGAGGUACAU